NNNNNNUCUGAAGGCUUGCUUACUGGGCUACAAACUGGGAACAAGUUUCUCCUCCUCUUGCCCAGGGGAAAGUCCCCGGACCCGUGGCAGAAAGUGCCCUGGUUGAAACCAGUGUCGAACUGCGCUCCACCGUCACAAAGCUAAGAUGUUCCUCAGAACGGAGCUUGGUGAUCGCUUGUCGACUUUGUCAGCGUUACUAGUAAUGCAAGUAAGCUGCUAAUAACGCCUUAACAGAACGGGGCUCAUUCUCAGAAUGCU
Molecule: RNase MRP RNA, 258 nt
Filed under: Monopterus albus (swamp eel)
Lineage: Eukaryota; Metazoa; Chordata; Actinopteri; Synbranchiformes; Synbranchidae
Description: RNase MRP (ENSMALG00000022156.1)
Rfam family: RNase MRP
About the family: RNase MRP is an enzymatically active ribonucleoprotein with two distinct roles in eukaryotes.
Source: RNAcentral